This 119-nucleotide ribosomal RNA is filed under the name Pteropus alecto (black flying fox). The record is from RNAcentral. Lineage: Eukaryota; Metazoa; Chordata; Mammalia; Chiroptera; Pteropodidae.
GUCUAUGGCCAUGCCACCCUGAACAUGCCUGACCUCGUCUGAUCUUGGAAGCUAAGCAGAGUUGGGCCUGGUUAGUACUUGGAUGGGAGACCACCUAGGAAGACCAGGUGCUGUAGCUG